UACGGGGGGGGCAAGCGUUGUUCGGAAUUACUGGGCGUAAAGGGCGCGUAGGCGGUUUGCUAAGUUGGAUGUGAAAACUCUGGGCUUAACCCAGAGCCUGCAUCCAAAACUGGCAAACUUGAGUACUGGAGGGGAAAGCGGAAUUCCUGGUGUAGCGGUGAAAUGCGCAGAUAUCAGGAGGAACACCGGUGGCGAAGGCGGGUCUCUGGGCCGUAACUGACGCUGAGGAGCGAAAGCGUGGGGAGCAAACAGG
Molecule: ribosomal RNA, 253 nt
Filed under: uncultured bacterium
Lineage: Bacteria
Description: partial 16S ribosomal RNA
Rfam family: Bacterial small subunit ribosomal RNA
Source: RNAcentral